This 253-nucleotide ribosomal RNA is filed under the name uncultured bacterium. Its description in RNAcentral is "partial 16S ribosomal RNA". It matches the Rfam family "Bacterial small subunit ribosomal RNA", at positions 524 to 776 of the family's 1533-position model. The record is from RNAcentral.
UACAGAGGGUGCGAGCGUUAAUCGGAAUAACUGGGCGUAAAGGGCGCGUAGGCGGCUUAGUAAGUCGGAUGUGAAAGCCCCGGGCUUAACCUGGGAAUUGCAUUCGAUACUGCUGGGCUAGAGUAUGGUAGAGGGAAGCGGAAUUCCGGGUGUAGCGGUGAAAUGCGUAGAUAUCCGGAGGAACAUCAGUGGCGAAGGCGGCUUCCUGGACCAAUACUGACGCUGAGGUGCGAAAGCGUGGGUAGCGAACAGG